This is a non-coding RNA of Chlorocebus sabaeus (green monkey), 148 nucleotides long. It matches the Rfam family "Metazoan signal recognition particle RNA". From Rfam's summary of the family: The signal recognition particle (SRP) is a universally conserved ribonucleoprotein. It is involved in the co-translational targeting of proteins to membranes. Lineage: Eukaryota; Metazoa; Chordata; Mammalia; Primates; Cercopithecidae. The record is from Rfam.
GCCAGGUGUGGUAGCACACACUUGUAGUCCCAGCUACUUGGGAGGCUGAGGUGGGAGGAUUGCUUGAGCCCAGGAGUUCAAGGCUACAGUGAGCUAUCAUGGCACCACUGCACUCCAGCCUGGGCAACAGAGCGAGACCUAGUCUCUA